Molecule: ribosomal RNA, 432 nt
Filed under: uncultured bacterium
Lineage: Bacteria
Description: partial 16S ribosomal RNA
Rfam family: Bacterial small subunit ribosomal RNA
Source: RNAcentral
CCUACGGGUGGCAGCAGUCGAGAAUUUUUCGCAAUGGGGGAAACCCUGACGGAGCGACGCCGCGUGGAGGAUGAAGGUCUUCGGAUUGUAAACUCCUGUCAUUGGUGAACUAGUAGCCGAAGAGGAAGGGACGGCUAACUCUGUGCCAGCAGCCGCGGUAAUACAGAGGUCCCGAGCGUUGUUCGGAUUCAUUGGGCGUAAAGGGUGCGUAGGCGGCUUUCUAAGUCUGAUGUGAAAUUCCGGGGCUCAACCCCGAAACUGCAUUGGAUACUGGGAGGCUAGAGUCCUGGAGAGGAAACUGGAAUUUACGGUGUAGCAGUGAAAUGCGUAGAUAUCGUAAGGAAGACCAGUGGCGAAGGCGAGUUUCUGGACAGGACUGACGCUGAGGCACGAAGGCUAGGGGAGCAAACGGGAUUAGAUACCCUUGUAGUC